This 403-nucleotide ribosomal RNA is filed under the name uncultured bacterium. RNAcentral's name for it is "partial 16S ribosomal RNA". It matches the Rfam family "Bacterial small subunit ribosomal RNA", at positions 28 to 526 of the family's 1533-position model. The record is from RNAcentral.
GACGAACGCUGGCGGCGUGCCUAAUACAUGCAAGUCGAACGCAGUGGGGACGGGUGCGUAACACGUGGGUCACCUCCCAUCAGAGGGGAUAACCCUUGGAAACAGGUGCUAAACCGAUACUGAUGGAUGGACCCGCGGUGCAUUAGCUAGUUGGGGAGGUAAAGGCUCACCAAGGCCACGAUGCAUAGCUGACCUGAGAGGAGGACCAGCCACACUGGAACUGAGACACGGUCCAGACUCCUACGGGAGGCAGCAGUGGGGAAUAUUGCACAAUGGGCGCAAGCCGGAUGCAGCCAUGCCGCGUGUAUGAAGAAGGCCUUCGGGUUGUAAAGUACUUUCAGCGGGGAGGCGUUACCCGCAGAAGAAGCACCGGCUAACUCCGUGCCAGCCGCCGCGGUAAUUC